GAUGAACGCUAGCGGCAGGCCUAACACAUGCAAGUCGAGGGGCAGCACAGAAACAGCAAUGUUUUGGUGGCGACCGGCGGACGGGUGCGUGACGCGUAUGCAACCUACCUUUAACAGGGGGAUAACGGAGAGAAAUUUCCACCAAUACCCCAUAACAUCGAUCAAGGCAUCUUGAUUGGUUGACAACUCCGGUGGUGAAAUAUGGGCAUGCGUUGUAUUAGGUAGUUGGUGAGGUAAUGGCUCACCAAGCCUACGAUACAUAGGGGGACUGAGAGGUUAGCCCCCCACACUGGUACUGAGACACGGACCAGACUCCUACGGGAGGCAGCAGUGAGGAAUAUUGGUCAAUGGGGGCAACCCUGAACCAGCCAUGCCGCGUGCAGGAAGACGGCUCUAUGAGUUGUAAACUGCUUUUAAACAGGGAUAAAGCACAGUAUGUAUACUGUGUUGAAGGUACUGUAAGAAUAAGGAUCGGCUAACUCCGUGCCAGCAGCCGCCGCGG
Molecule: ribosomal RNA, 502 nt
Filed under: uncultured bacterium
Lineage: Bacteria
Description: partial 16S ribosomal RNA
Rfam family: Bacterial small subunit ribosomal RNA
Source: RNAcentral